RNAcentral lists this ribosomal RNA (218 nucleotides) under Rhizophagus intraradices. RNAcentral's name for it is "partial 25S large subunit ribosomal RNA". It matches the Rfam family "Eukaryotic large subunit ribosomal RNA", at positions 136 to 352 of the family's 3401-position model. The record is from RNAcentral. Lineage: Eukaryota; Fungi; Glomeromycota; Glomeromycetes; Glomerales; Glomeraceae.
GAUCGAGUUGUAAUUUGAAGAAGCGUUUUCUGCGUAUUUGAUCAGCCUAAGUCCUAUUGAAUGAGGCAUCACGGAGGGUGAUAAUCCCGUCCGGUUGAUCAUUUGCGUUUUACGAUACGCUUUCUAAGAGUUCAAGUUGUUUGGGAUUGCAGCUUAAAAUGGGAGGUAAAUUUCCCUAAGGCUAGUAAACGGCGAGAGACCGAUAGCGAACAAGUACC